Molecule: ribosomal RNA, 1245 nt
Filed under: 'Amaranthus hypochondriacus' phytoplasma
Lineage: Bacteria; Bacillati; Mycoplasmatota; Mollicutes; Acholeplasmatales; Acholeplasmataceae
Description: bacterial SSU rRNA
Rfam family: Bacterial small subunit ribosomal RNA
Source: RNAcentral
GAAACGACUGCUAAGACUGGAUAGGAAGAAAUAAGGCAUCUUAUUUCUUUUAAAAGACCUAGUAAUAGGUAUACUUUAGGAGGGGCUUGCGCCAUAUUAGUUAGUUGGUAGGGUAAUGGCCUACCAAGACGAUGAUGUGUAGCUGGACUGAGAGGUUGAACAGCCACAUUGGGACUGAGACACGGCCCAAACUCCUACGGGAGGCAGCAGUAAGGAAUUUUCGGCAAUGGAGGAAACUCUGACCGAGCAACGCCGCGUGAACGACGAAGUACUUUGGUAUGUAAAGUUCUUUUAUCAAGGAAGAAAAGCAAGUGGCGAACCAUUUGUUUGCCGGUACUUGAUGAAUAAGCCCCGGCUAAUUAUGUGCCAGCAGCCGCGGUAAGACAUAAGGGGCAAGUGUUAUCCGGAAUUAUUGGGCGUAAAGGGUGCGUAGGCGGUCUAGUAAGUCAGUGGUGUAAUGGCAACGCUCAACGUUGUCCGGCUAUUGAAACCGCUAAACUUGAGUUAGAUAGAGGCGAGUGGAAUUCCAUGUGUAGCGGUAAAAUGCGUAAAUAUAUGGAGGAACACCAGAGGCGUAGGCGGCUCGCUGGGUCUUAACUGACGCUGAGGCACGAAAGCGUGGGGAGCAAACAGGAUUAGAUACCCUGGUAGUCCACGCCGUAAACGAUGAGUACUAAGUAUCGGGUUAAACCGGUACUGAAGUUAACACAUUAAGUACUCCGCCUGAGUAGUACGUACGCAAGUAUGAAACUUAAAGGAAUUGACGGGACUCCGCACAAGCGGUGGAUCAUGUUGUUUAAUUCGAAGAUACCCGAAAAACCUUACCAGGUCUUGACAUGUUUUUGCGAAACGGUAGUAAUAUCGUAGAGGUUAUCAGAAACACAGGUGGUGCAUGGUUGUCGUCAGCUCGUGUCGUGAGAUGUUAGGUUAAGUCCUAAAACGAGCGAAACCCUUAUCGUUAGUUGCCAGCACGUUAUGGUGGGGACUUUAACGAGACUGCCAGUGAUAAACUGGAGGAAGGUGAGGAUCACGUCAAAUCAGCAUGCCCCUUAUGACCUGGGCUACAAACGUGAUACAAUGGCUGUUACAAAGGGUAGCUGAAACGUAAGUUCUUGGCCAAUCCCCAAAAACAGUCUCAGUCCGGAUUGAAGUCUGCAACUCGACUUCAUGAAGUUGGAAUCGCUAGUAAUCGCGAAUCAGCAUGUCGCGGUGAAUACGUUCUCGGGGUUUGUACACACCGCCCGU